GCGUACAGAUGGCUCUGACAGCAACUGAGCUCUGAAAGCUGGUUCCACCUCAAGCGAACACCCAGCCCUGCCUUCUGCCUCGGUUGGCGGCAUCCUAUUGUACGGAUACGCCAGGGGAGUCCGGCUGGUGCCCGAGCUGGUGGCCACCUGGCUCGAGGCAGAUAGGGCCGCCUGCCUCGCCCCUGCAUCUACAUCCCGAUAUGGGUGCACCAGCGCAUUUCAGAGCCAUGGCACAUCUUCACUUUCCACGCAGGACUCACUUGGCCUGAGAAAUACCUGCUCAGCUAUUUCCCAAAAAAAGGAUUAUCCACUAGAUUGGCAAGAGCAGGAAGGCUCUGGGACUGAGAGCACUUUGAAGGCCAGAAUUGUCUCAUCCUCAUUGGAGUCCUGGCCCCGGAUAGAGAAAAAGGAAAGAAAGCUUUUCCUAAUUCAGGGAAUUUCCAGAAGCACGGACAGACUGAGAUGUGACCUUUCCCCAGGUCUCCCUUGCCAUCGCCCUCUUCUGGCCACUCUUAGAAUGAGCACAGCUUGAGGAGAGGCCAAGGCUACUGGAAGACCAAGGAUGGCUGUGGAGCACGGAGGGGGCUGGAACCAAUCUCCCGAGAUUCUCUACUCUCCAGCCCUGCCCACCCAUCCCAUCCAGUCUGCAGACUCACAGAACACGCGGGCCCUGGUUAUCCAGCAUUUUCUACAAAAUUAUUGGGGAGAAAUGAGGCCCCAAGGGGCAAGCCUGCCUUAGGGUUAUUCCAUAAGGCUGCCACUGGGAGGUGGGGGCCUCUCUCAGACUUAUGCCUCUUUCACCCAGAUUUCCAGCAUGCACACCAGCACCCAGCACACCAGAGGUGCUCAGUACAUUCUUGAACAAGCCGAUGACGGCUUCUUGAGUCCAGACCCCCGAUGCCCACAUUAGCUCCCAGAGGCCCCAACACAGAUCCAGUAGCGUCCAGGAUCUGACAGUUUGUUUCAGGCGAUGGUUGAUUCACCUCCUUACCCUCCCCACCCCUCCACCCCCACCCCCAUUUUCACAGCCUCAGCUUCUGUGUUUUCGGGGCAAGGCCGCCACCAUUCCAACAGUGCUCUGGAGACCCUUCUCCCUGGUCACGAGCUGGGUCCCAUGAGGAAUUGAGAUACCUCAGUCGGGACAUGCUACCUGCUGAUGUUCUCUCAAAUGACCCAGGAACCCACACUUCUGCCCACCUUCCUAACUCAGAAGCCCCACCAGGCACAGCAAAGGUGAGUACUCUGCAGGACUACUCCCGCAAGGGAAAAGCAGGCCCCUCAAGUCUGGUUUGAGCUUCAGCCUUCGCAAGAUUCUCAGGUCUCACAGCCUCUGGGGCCUCCGGCCUCCUAGUGGCCUGGUCUUCCGCGGACCCGGCCCAGUUCUGGUCUGUCGGGCCUGCAGCUUGGCCCUCAGCCAGGUCGUUACGGGACCACCUCGUUAUUCAUUCGCAGAGAAUUUCCCCACGCACCAUGAGGCCUCCUAGAAUGACUGUCCCCAGUUCGGAGACGAGGGGAUUGCGGCUGCUAGAGGUCUCCAGGGGGUGAAGAAGUGGGGCCACGGGGGGCGGCCGACCGCUGUC
Long non-coding RNA from Canis lupus familiaris (dog), 1580 nucleotides. RefSeq lists it as uncharacterized. The record is from RefSeq and is a predicted model, not a curated record. The transcript has 3 exons. Lineage: Eukaryota; Metazoa; Chordata; Mammalia; Carnivora; Canidae.